RNAcentral lists this ribosomal RNA (405 nucleotides) under uncultured bacterium. RNAcentral describes it as "partial 16S ribosomal RNA". It matches the Rfam family "Bacterial small subunit ribosomal RNA", at positions 30 to 526 of the family's 1533-position model. The record is from RNAcentral.
AUUGAACGCUGGCGGCAGGCCUAACACAUGCAAGUCGAACGAGUGGCGGACGGGUGAGUAAUGUCUGGGAAACUGACUGAUGGAGGGGGAUAACUCCUGGAAACGGUAGCUAAUACCGCAUACCAUCAGAUGUGCCCAGGUGGGGUUAGCUAGUUGGUGGGGUAACGGCGCACCAAGGCGACGAUCCCUAGCUGGUCUGAGAGGUUGACCAGCCACACUGGAACUAGGACGCGGUCCAGACUCCUACGGGAGGCAGCAGGGGGGAAUAUUGCACAAUGGGCGAACGCCUGAUGCAGCCAUGCCGCGUGUAUGAAGAAGGCCUUCGGGUUGUAAAGUACUUUCAGCGGGGAGGCGUUACCCGCAGAAGAAGCACCGGCUAACUCCGUGCCAGCAGCCGCGUAAUUC